GACGAACGCUGGCGGCGUGCCUAAUACAUGCAAGUUGAACGCUGAAGGUUGGUACUUGUACCGUGUGCAUGAGCCGCGCACGGGUGUGUAACGCGUGUGAAAUCUGCCUUUGAUCGGGGGACAACAUGUGGAAACGAGUGCUAAUACCGCAUAAACACUUUAAACACAGGUUGUAAGUGUGAAAGAUGCAGUUUCGUCGGUUAAGCGUGGUCCCGCGGUGUAUUAGCGAGUUGGUGGUGUACAGGCGCAUCAAGGCGAAGACGGGUAGCCGGACUGAGAGGGUGACCGGCCACAUUGGGACUGGGAUACGAGCAGGAGUGCUACGGGAGGCAGCGAUGGGGGAUAGUGCACGAUGGGCGGAAGCCUGAUGCAGCAACGCCGCGUGCGGGAUGACGGCCUUCGGGUUGUAAAGCGCUUGCGCCUGUGACGAAGCGUGAGUGACGGUAAUGGGUAAAGAAGCACCGGCUAACUACGUG
This 476-nucleotide ribosomal RNA is filed under the name uncultured bacterium. RNAcentral describes it as "partial 16S ribosomal RNA". It matches the Rfam family "Bacterial small subunit ribosomal RNA", at positions 28 to 507 of the family's 1533-position model. The record is from RNAcentral.